AAACACGCGAGAAAAACAACGCAGGAAUUCGCUAACCACACCCGCCGAGACACCACAGGAAACACAACCCACUCUCUCUCUCUCUCUCUCUCUCUCUCUCUCGACUCCCCCCCCAAUCCGCAGCUCCGCACGCGCUCCUCGCCUCCGCCAUGUCUGGCCUCCUCCGGUGGAGGCGCCUCGCCGCCGCAGCCACGCGCGCCGCCUCCACCCUGACCGCAGCCGAAUGCUCCCCUGCCAUCGCGGCGGUCCCGCCACCGCACCGCCUCCUCCAGGAUCGGCGCAAGUGGGAGGGCCCCUCGUCCUCCUCCGGGGGCGGCUCCUCCUCGUCCUCCUCUAACGACGAGCCGGAGCCGCGGCGUAUCCGCGCGGAGGCCCACUGCCCGCGCUGCUCCAAGCACAUGGACAUCCUCUUCUCCCACCGCGCCCAUCCCCCUUCAGCCCCCGCCGCUGUCGGCGGCUAUCAGACGCUCAACCUCUGUCCCAACUGCCGCACCGCCUACUUCUUCCACCCCAACCACCUCGCGCCACUUCAGGGCACCUUCGUCGAGAUCGGCCGCGUCCGGGCUGACCUGCCCCCGGACGGCGUCAGGGUCAGGGACCCCUCCUCCUGGGAAGCCAUCCGUGCGAGCUCGUCUUCGCGCAACGAUGGGGAUGGUAGUGGCGUGGCCGUGCAUGUGCCGCCCGGGCCACCGUUCCAUCCUAGCCUUAACGUCGUCCGCGUAGCCGGAGGCGGUGGCGGGGGAGGAGCUGCUGGCGGUGGGGGCGAGGAGGGAGGGGGAAAGGACGGAUGGGGCGGGUCGAACCUUGGGAAGGAUUUUCCGACACCUAAGGAGAUUUCCAAGGGGCUCGAUAAGUAUGUGAUUGGGCAAGACCGAGCCAAGAAGGUGCUAUCUGUUGCAGUGUACAACCACUAUAAACGUAUAUACCAUCAGUCUCUACAGAAAGGGUCUGGAGCAGAUUUGGGUUGUUCUGAUGGAGAAGCUGAUGGUGAAGACAAUGUUGAACUAGAGAAAAGCAAUAUACUGUUAAUGGGCCCUACUGGUUCAGGUAAAACUUUGCUUGCAAAGACAUUAGCUCGGUUUGUGAAUGUGCCAUUUGUAAUUGCUGAUGCAACAACAUUGACCCAGGCAGGGUAUGUAGGAGAAGAUGUAGAAUCUAUAUUGUACAAGUUACUUACGGUGGCAGAUUUUAAUGUGCAAGCAGCACAACAAGGGAUGGUGUACAUUGAUGAAGUUGAUAAGAUCACUAAGAAGAUAGUCAAUGUCCCUGAGAAAGGAGCAAGGAAGCAUCCUCGUGGUGAUAAUAUACAGAUAGAUACGAAGGAUAUUCUGUUUAUAUGUGGGGGUGCUUUUAUUGACUUGGAGAAAACUAUAUCAGAGAGGCGGCAGGAUUCUUCUAUUGGAUUUGGGGCACCUGUCCGUGCAAGCAUGAGGACUAGUGGUAUUUCAAGUGCUCAAGUGACAUCGUCCUUGUUAGAAUCAGUUGAGAGCGGCGAUCUUAUAGCAUAUGGACUCAUUCCGGAGUUCAUUGGACGUUUUCCUAUCCUUGUCAGCUUGGCAGCACUAAAUGAGGACCAACUUGUUCAGGUUCUCACCGAGCCAAAGAAUGCUCUAGGUAAACAAUUCAAGAAGUUGUUCAGCAUGAAUAAUGUUAAGCUUCACUUCACGGAUGCUGCACUAAGAAUAAUUGCCCAGAAGGCAAUGUGCAAAAAUACAGGUGCACGGGGCUUAAGGACUAUCCUUGAGAAUAUUCUCAUGGAUUCCAUGUAUGAGAUUCCAGAUACAAAAUCUGGAGAGAAGCGAAUUGACGCAGUGGUUGUAGAUGAAGGUGCAGUAGGAUUGGUGGACCGACCUGGCUGUGGAGCUAAGAUCCUUUACGGCGAUGGUGCAUUUGAUCGUUAUCUAUCCCAGAUAAAGGCAAUGGGAGACGGAGCAGGAAGCGAAGUGGACGGGGAUCCUGACCUUUCUUCGUCAAGAGCCAUGAGCAUGUGAUUUCAUGGUUCCUCUAGCUCUACUGUACACUGUAAAAUCUGAUCCUAGCUGUAUUAAUGUAAAGAAAAAAAACACAUGUGCAGUACCCAUUGCUAAUUCAAACCCCAGCUGUCUGGCCGUCCUCACGCCUUGCAUAAUCUGUAGCAGGAUUGGGAAGUGUAUAGUGGAGCAAGUUGGGUGUCGACGUGUGUGUGAAGGUGAGAGACUUUUUAUGUGAAGAACUGUAAUGCUUGCCAGAUGUUGUAAAACUUCAAACACUGAGAUGAAGGGGCUGAAAUUUAGCAUGGAGAUACGAAAUCAUGUUAUCAGCUCCUUGCCCGAAUUGUGCUGUGUGGUGUACCAGCCUUGCUUGGUAGAAAGAAGAAAGAGAUCCGAAUGCUUUAG
This 2375-nucleotide ribosomal RNA is filed under the name Triticum aestivum (bread wheat). Its description in RNAcentral is "partial small subunit ribosomal RNA". The record is from RNAcentral. Lineage: Eukaryota; Viridiplantae; Streptophyta; Magnoliopsida; Poales; Poaceae.